Plectropomus leopardus (leopard coralgrouper) is the source of this 163-nucleotide non-coding RNA. Lineage: Eukaryota; Metazoa; Chordata; Actinopteri; Perciformes; Serranidae. The record is from RefSeq and is a predicted model, not a curated record.
CCGCAGGCUUCACGGAGCCUCAGGUUGAGGGACCCAAGGGAGACCGUGGACCCAAGGGAGACAGGGGCCCCGCUGGUCCCCCCGGUAACGAUGGUAUCCCCGGUCAGCCUGGACUGCCUGGACCUCCCGGCCCCCCUGGACCCCCCGGCCUCGGUGGAGUAAG